AUACGAACUGUGCGAACGUUAUUCGGAAUCACUGGGCUUAAAGGGUGCGUAGGCGGCUUUGUAGGUCAGAUGCGAAAUCCCACGGCUCAACCGUGGAAUUGCGUUUGAAACCACAAAGCUUGAGGGAGAUAGAGGAGAGCGGAACUGAUGGUGGAGCGGUGAAAUGCGUUGAUAUCAUCAGGAACACCGGUGGCGAAGGCGGCUCUCUGGAUCUCUUCUGACGCUCAGGCACGAAAGCUAGGGGAGCGAACGGGAUUAGAUACCCCAGUAGUCC
RNAcentral lists this ribosomal RNA (274 nucleotides) under uncultured bacterium. RNAcentral's name for it is "partial 16S ribosomal RNA". It matches the Rfam family "Bacterial small subunit ribosomal RNA", at positions 523 to 796 of the family's 1533-position model. The record is from RNAcentral.